UACAGAGGUCUCAAGCGUUGUUCGGAUUCAUUGGGCGUAAAGCGCACGUAGGCGGAUAUUUAAGUCAGGGGUGAAAUCCCGGGGCUCAACCCCGGAACUGCCUUUGAUACUGGGUAUCUCGAGUCCGAGAGAGGUGAGUGGAAUUCCGGGUGUAGAGGUGAAAUUCGUAGAUAUUCGGAGGAACACCAGUGGCGAAGGCGGCUCACUGGCUCGGUACUGACGCUGAGGUGCGAAAGCGUGGGGAGCAAACAGG
Molecule: ribosomal RNA, 253 nt
Filed under: uncultured bacterium
Lineage: Bacteria
Description: partial 16S ribosomal RNA
Rfam family: Bacterial small subunit ribosomal RNA
Source: RNAcentral